AGCGUACACGGUGGAUGCCCUGGCAGUCAGAGGCGAUGAAGGACGUGCUAAUCUGCGAAAAGCGUCGGUAAGGUGAUAUGAACCGUUAUAGCCGGCGAUGUCCGAAUGGGGAAACCCAGUGUGAUUCGUCACACUAUCGUUAACUGAAUACAUAGGUUAACGAGGCGAACCGGGGGAACUGAAACAUCUAAGUACCCCGAGGAAAAGAAAUCAACCGAGAUUCCCCCAGUAGCGGCGAGCGAACGGGGAGCAGCCCAGAGUCUGAAUCAGCUUGUGUGUUAGUGGAACGGUCUGGAAAGUCCGACGGUACAGGGUGAUAGUCCCGUACACCAAAAUGCACAGGUUGUGAACUCGAAGAGUAGGGCGGGACACGUGGUAUCCUGUCUGAAUAUGGGGGGACCAUCCUCCAAGGCUAAAUACUCCUGACUGACCGAUAGUGAACCAGUACCGUGAGGGAAAGGCGAAAAGAACCCCGGCGAGGGGAGUGAAAAAGAACCUGAAACCGUGUACGUACAAGCAGUGGGAGCACCUUUAUGGUGUGACUGCGUACCUUUUGUAUAAUGGGUCAGCGACUUAUAUUCUGUAGCAAGGUUAACCGUAUAGGGGAGCCGCAGGGAAACCGAGUCUUAACUGGGCGUUAAGUUGCAGGGUAUAGACCCGAAACCCGGUGAUCUAGCCAUGGGCAGGUUGAAGGUUGGGUAACACUAACUGGAGGACCGAACCGACUAAUGUUGAAAAAUUAGCGGAUGACUUGUGGCUGGGGGUGAAAGGCCAAUCAAACCGGGAGAUAGCUGGUUCUCCCCGAAAGCUAUUUAGGUAGCGCCUCGUGAAUUCAUCUUCGGGGGUAGAGCACUGUUUCGGCUAGGGGGUCAUCCCGACUUACCAACCCGAUGCAAACUACGAAUACCGAAGAAUGUUAUCACGGGAGACACACGGCGGGUGCUAACGUCCGUCGUGAAGAGGGAAACAACCCAGACCGCCAGCUAAGGUCCCAAAGUCACAGUUAAGUGGGAAACGAUGUGGGAAGGCACAGACAGCCAGGAUGUUGGCUUAGAAGCAGCCAUCAUUUAAAGAAAGCGUAAUAGCUCACUGGUCGAGUCGGCCUGCGCGGAAGAUGUAACGGGGCUAAACUGUGCACCGAAGCUGCGGCAGCGACACUAUGUGUUGUUGGGUAGGGGAGCGUUCUGUAAGCCUGCGAAGGUGGCCUGUGAGGGUUGCUGGAGGUAUCAGAAGUGCGAAUGCUGACAUAAGUAACGAUAAUGCGGGUGAAAAGCCCGCACGCCGGAAGACCAAGGGUUCCUGUCCAACGUUAAUCGGGGCAGGGUGAGUCGACCCCUAAGGCGAGGCCGAAAGGCGUAGUCGAUGGGAAACAGGUUAAUAUUCCUGUACUUGGUGUUACUGCGAAGGGGGGACGGAGAAGGCUAUGUUAGCCGGGCGACGGUUGUCCCGGUUUAAGCAUGUAGGCGGAGGUUCCAGGUAAAUCCGGUACCUUUUUAACGCUGAGGUGUGAUGACGAGGCACUACGGUGCUGAAGUAACAAAUGCCCUGCUUCCAGGAAAAGCCUCUAAGCAUCAGGUAACAUCAAAUCGUACCCCAAACCGACACAGGUGGUCAGGUAGAGAAUACCAAGGCGCUUGAGAGAACUCGGGUGAAGGAACUAGGCAAAAUGGUGCCGUAACUUCGGGAGAAGGCACGCUGAUAUGUAGGUGAAGCCCCUGCGGGUGGAGCUGAAAUCAGUCGAAGAUACCAGCUGGCUGCAACUGUUUAUUAAAAACACAGCACUGUGCAAACACGAAAGUGGACGUAUACGGUGUGACGCCUGCCCGGUGCCGGAAGGUUAAUUGAUGGGGUUAUCCGUAAGGAGAAGCUCUUGAUCGAAGCCCCGGUAAACGGCGGCCGUAACUAUAACGGUCCUAAGGUAGCGAAAUUCCUUGUCGGGUAAGUUCCGACCUGCACGAAUGGCGUAAUGAUGGCCAGGCUGUCUCCACCCGAGACUCAGUGAAAUUGAACUCGCUGUGAAGAUGCAGUGUACCCGCGGCAAGACGGAAAGACCCCGUGAACCUUUACUAUAGCUUGACACUGAACAUUGAGCCUUGAUGUGUAGGAUAGGUGGGAGGCUUUGAAGCGUGGACGCCAGUCUGCGUGGAGCCAACCUUGAAAUACCACC
This 2167-nucleotide ribosomal RNA is filed under the name Klebsiella aerogenes. Its description in RNAcentral is "bacterial LSU rRNA". It matches the Rfam family "Bacterial large subunit ribosomal RNA", at positions 14 to 2204 of the family's 2925-position model. Lineage: Bacteria; Pseudomonadati; Pseudomonadota; Gammaproteobacteria; Enterobacterales; Enterobacteriaceae. The record is from RNAcentral.